GCACGAGCUAUUUAUCCUAAUCUUUCAAAAGCUUGGUUUAGCUCCUGAAAAGAAUUUGUUGGUGACGUCUAUGUUAACCAAAUCUAUUGAUCAAUAUCCACAAUCAACUGUGCAAAAGCCAGAUGAACCAGAGAAAGCAGGCGAAGAACUCGAGGCUCACCCCAAUUCGGUACAAAUGGGGUCGAACCUAUGGUAGGAGAUGGAGAUGAAGUGAUGACAGAUGUAGAGGCUGAUAUAGAUGAUGAUUUGACCAUUGACAUGGAAGCUUUUGAAGAAAUAGUUGGA
Molecule: long non-coding RNA, 285 nt
Organism: Quercus lobata
Lineage: Eukaryota; Viridiplantae; Streptophyta; Magnoliopsida; Fagales; Fagaceae
Exons: 2
Source: RefSeq, a predicted model, not a curated record